CCUACGGGAGGCAGCAGUGAGGAAUAUUGGUCAAUGGACGAGAGUCUGAACCAGCCAAGCCGCGUGAAGGAUGACUGCCCUAUGGGUUGUAAACUUCUUUUAUACGGGAAUAAAACGUUCUACGUGUGUGCAUCUGUAAGUACUAUACGAAUAAGGAUCGGCUAACUCCGUGCCAGCAGCCGCGGUAAUACGGAGGAUCCGAGCGUUAUCCGGAUUUAUUGGGUUUAAAGGGUGCGUAGGCGGAUUGAUAAGUUAGUGGUGAAAGGUCGGGGCUUAACUCGGGAAUUGCAGUUGAUACUGGUGAUCUAGAGAGCAGAAGCGGUAGGCGGAAUGCAUGGUGUAGCGGUGAAAUGCUUAGAGAUCACACAGAACACCGAUUGCGAAGGCAGCUCACUAAUCUACAUCUGACGCUGAGGCACGAAAGUGUGGGUAGCAAACAGGAUUAGAUACCCGAGUAGUC
This 460-nucleotide ribosomal RNA is filed under the name uncultured bacterium. Its description in RNAcentral is "partial 16S ribosomal RNA". It matches the Rfam family "Bacterial small subunit ribosomal RNA", at positions 338 to 795 of the family's 1533-position model. The record is from RNAcentral.